GAUGAACGCUGGCGGCGUGCUUAACACAUGCAAGUCGAACGGAAAGGCUCCUGCUUGCAGGGGUACUCGAGUGGCGAACGGGUGAGUAACACGUGGGUGAUCUGCCCUGCACUUCGGGAUAAGCCUGGGAAACUGGGUCUAAUACCGGAUAGGACGAUGGUUUGGAUGCCAUUGUGGAAAGUGUUUCGGUGUGGGAUGAGCUCGCGGCCUAUCAGCUUGUUGGUGGGGUAAUGGCCUACCAAGGCGUCGACGGGUAGCCGGCCUGAGAGGGUGUACGGCCACAUUGGGACUGAGAUACGGCCCAGACUCCUACGGGAGGCAGCAGUGGGGAAUAUUGCACAAUGGGCGCAAGCCUGAUGCAGCGACGCCGCGUGGGGGAUGACGGCCUUCGGGUUGUAAACUCCUUUCGCUAGGGACGAAGCGCAAGUGACGGUACCUGGAGAAGAAGCACCGGCUAACUACGUG
Molecule: ribosomal RNA, 465 nt
Filed under: uncultured bacterium
Lineage: Bacteria
Description: partial 16S ribosomal RNA
Rfam family: Bacterial small subunit ribosomal RNA
Source: RNAcentral